RNAcentral lists this ribosomal RNA (253 nucleotides) under uncultured bacterium. Its description in RNAcentral is "partial 16S ribosomal RNA". It matches the Rfam family "Bacterial small subunit ribosomal RNA", at positions 524 to 776 of the family's 1533-position model. The record is from RNAcentral.
UACGGAGGGGGCUAGCGUUGUUCGGAAUUACUGGGCGUAAAGCGCACGUAGGCGGCUUCGCAAGUCAGGGGUGAAAGCCCUGGGCUUAACCCCGGAACUGCCUUUGAGACUGCGUCGCUUGAAUCCGGGAGAGGCGGGUGGAAUUUCGAGUGUAGAGGUGAAAUUCGUAGAUAUUUGGAGGAACACCAGUGGCGAAGGCGGCCCGCUGGACCGGUAUUGACGCUGAGGUGCGAAAGCGUGGGGAGCAAACAGG